This is a non-coding RNA of Parasteatoda tepidariorum (common house spider), 108 nucleotides long. NCBI's taxonomy places the organism in Eukaryota, Metazoa, Arthropoda, Arachnida, Araneae, Theridiidae. The record is from RefSeq and is a predicted model, not a curated record.
AAGUGGUGGUAGUGACAAAGAAGUCAAGUUUUGGGAUUUUGAACUUAUAACAGAUAGUGAAUAUUCUGAAGUUAAGAAAAGAUUGUCUCUUAAUCUGAGAAGGACUUU